This 406-nucleotide ribosomal RNA is filed under the name uncultured bacterium. Its description in RNAcentral is "partial 16S ribosomal RNA". It matches the Rfam family "Bacterial small subunit ribosomal RNA", at positions 30 to 526 of the family's 1533-position model. The record is from RNAcentral.
AUUGAACGCUGGCGGCAGGCCUAACACAUGCAAGUCGAACGAGUGGCGGACGGGUGCGUAAUGUCUGGGAAACUGCCUGAUGGCGGGGGAUAACUACUGGAAACGGUAGCUAAUACCGCAUCCCAUCAGAUGUGCCCAGAUGGGAUUAGCUUGUUGGGUGGGUAGCGGCUAACGAAGGCGACGAUCCCUAGCUGGUCUGAGAGGAUGACCUGCCACAUCGGAACGUGGACACGGUCCAUACGCCUACGGGAGGCAGCAGUGGGGAAUAUUGCACAACGGGCGCAAGCCUGAUGCAGCCAUGCCGCGUGUAUGAAGAAGGCCUUCGGGUUGUAAAGUACUUUCAGCGGGGAGGCGUUACCCGCAGAAGAAGCACCGGCUAACUCCGUGCCAGCAGCCGCGGUAAUUC